UACGGAGGGUGCAAGCGUUAAUCGGAAUUACUGGGCGUAAAGCGUGCGCAGGCGGUUCGUCGUGUCCGAUGUGAAAGCCCCGGGCUCAACCUGGGAAUGGCAUUGGAAACUGGCGGACUCGAGUGUGGCAGAGGGGGGUGGAAUUCCGCGUGUAGCAGUGAAAUGCGUAGAGAUGCGGAGGAACACCGAUGGCGAAGGCAGCCCCCUGGGCUAACACUGACGCUCAGGCACGAAAGCGUGGGGGAGCAAACAGG
This 254-nucleotide ribosomal RNA is filed under the name uncultured bacterium. RNAcentral's name for it is "partial 16S ribosomal RNA". It matches the Rfam family "Bacterial small subunit ribosomal RNA", at positions 524 to 776 of the family's 1533-position model. The record is from RNAcentral.